Molecule: ribosomal RNA, 253 nt
Filed under: uncultured bacterium
Lineage: Bacteria
Description: partial 16S ribosomal RNA
Rfam family: Bacterial small subunit ribosomal RNA
Source: RNAcentral
AACGUAGGAGGCGAGCGUUAUCCGGAAUUACUGGGCGUAAAGCGCGUGUAGGCGGAUUACCAAGUCAUUUGUGAAAGCUCCCGGCUAAACUGGGAGAGGUCGAAUGAGACUGGUAGUCUAGAGAGCAGGAGAGGAGUGCGGAAUUCCGGGUGUAGUGGUGAAAUGCGUAGAUAUCCGGAGGAACACCAGUGGCGAAGGCGGCACUCUGGCCUGCAACUGACGCUAAGACGCGAAAGCAUGGGGAGCGAACGGG